CNACGUGUAGCAGUGAAAUGCGUAGAGAUGUGGAGGAAUACCGAUGGCGAAGGCAGCNUCCUGGGAUAACACUGACGUUCAUGCCCGAAAGCGUGGGUAGCAAACAGGAUUAGAUACCCUGGUAGUCCACGCCCUAAACGAUGUCGAUUAGCUGUUGGGCAGCAUGACUGCUUAGUAGCGAAGCUAACGCGUGAAAUCGACCGCCUGGGGAGUACGGUCGCAAGAUUAAAACUCAAAGGAAUUGACGGGGACCCGCACAAGCGGUGGAUGAUGUGGAUUAAUUCGAUGCAACGCGAAGAACCUUACCUGGUCUUGACAUGUACGGAACCCUCCAGAGACGGAGGAGUGCCUUCGGGAGCCGUAACACAGGUGCUGCAUGGCUGUCGUCAGCUCGUGUCGUGAGAUGUUGGGUUAAGUCCCGCAACGAGCGCAACCCUUGUCAUUAGUUGCCAUCAUUAAGUUGGGCACUCUAAUGAGACUGCCGGUGACAAGCCGGAGGAAGGUGGGGAUGACGUCAAGUCCUCAUGGCCCUUAUGACCAGGGCUUCACACGUCAUACAAUGGUCGGUACAGAGGGUAGCCAAGCCGCGAGGCGGAGCCAAUCUCACAAAACUGAUCGUAGUCCGGAUUGCACUCUGCAACUCGAGUGCAUGAAGUCGGAAUCGCUAGUAAUCGCAGGUCAGCAUACUGCGGUGAAAACGUUCCCGGGUCUUGUACACACCG
This 722-nucleotide ribosomal RNA is filed under the name uncultured bacterium. Its description in RNAcentral is "bacterial SSU rRNA". It matches the Rfam family "Bacterial small subunit ribosomal RNA", at positions 669 to 1392 of the family's 1533-position model. The record is from RNAcentral.